UACGUAGGGCGCAAGCGUUAUCCGGAAUUAUUGGGCGUAAAGAGCUCGUAGGCGGUUUGUCGCGUCUGCCGUGAAAGUCCGGGGCUCAACUCCGAUCUGCGGUGGGUACGGGCAGACUAGAGUGAUGUAGGGGAGACUGGAAUUCCUGGUGUAGCGGUGAAAUGCGCAGAUAUCAGGAGGAACACCGAUGGCGAAGGCAGGUCUCUGGGCAUUAACUGACGCUGAGGAGCGAAAGCAUGGGGAGCGAACAGG
Molecule: ribosomal RNA, 252 nt
Filed under: uncultured bacterium
Lineage: Bacteria
Description: partial 16S ribosomal RNA
Rfam family: Bacterial small subunit ribosomal RNA
Source: RNAcentral